GACGUAGGGAGCAAGCGUUGUCCGGAAUUACUGGGCGUAAAGAGCUCGUAGGCGGGACCGUAAGUCCGAGAGGAAAUCUCAAGGCUCAACUUUGGGGCUUUCUUGGAUACUGCGGUUCUUGAGGAUGAGAGAGGUAAGUAGAAUUCCCGGUGUAGCGGUGAAAUGCGUAGAUAUCGGGAGGAAUACCAGUGGCGAAGGCGGCUUACUGGCUCAUUCCUGACGCUGAGGAGCGAAAGCGUGGGGAGCAAACAGG
RNAcentral lists this ribosomal RNA (253 nucleotides) under uncultured prokaryote. RNAcentral's name for it is "partial 16S ribosomal RNA". It matches the Rfam family "Bacterial small subunit ribosomal RNA", at positions 524 to 776 of the family's 1533-position model. The record is from RNAcentral.